AACGAACAAACGAUUCGCGAACGACUCCUCGUGGCGAACUGAAUCACGUGAACUGGGUCACGGAAACUAAUCAUUAAAUCCACCAUUAGGUAAAACACGACAUUGCACACUGUAUGUCCCAUGGGAUGGCAUCCCUUGGUGAGAAAAAAGGAUUAACCAAUCAGGUGAGGCAACCGUCAUGACACUGAGCCUCCUGUGAUUAGUCAGCAGUGUGCCAAGGGAAGCCUUCACACCAAUCAAAUGAAAGCAUCAACGUCAAGGUAAACAAAUAGCGGGAGAUUAGCACGUUUGCAUUUUUUUUUAUCAUAUUAUCGUAUAAGCAAGUGGAGUUAUGGAGGGUCGAGAUUUAGAGUAUUUAGUAAAUUGUACCAUACUGCCACAUGGGCAGCAACUAAAGAAUAAAUCUGGCGGCAGGCCAAUGCCUCAGCUUCAGCUGCGUGUGGAGAGAAAGAAGAGUGGUUAUCGCACUUUCAAUGAGGAGAACUAUGUCCGCACCGAGUGGCUAGCUGGUAGCGCUAAACUUCAGCUACUAUUUUGCUGGCCAUGUUUUCAUUUUGACAAAGAUUCAUGCCUCCUGAACAUUCCCUGGGUUACUUAUUGACCACUUCGCCACCAUGAAAGACAGGAGAAUGGCCUUCCUAUACAAAUAGGAGUGGCCCAGGGCCUCUGUUGCUGAUGCUGAUGAUGGACCUGGAGCUGGUGAUGGGUCUUCUGUUGCUGGUGCUGGAACUGCUGUUGGUGCUGGUGCAGGGCUCCAGACUAACUUUUUCACAGGGACCAGCUCAUAUAGUUAGGCCUCCUGCUCCUCUUACCCUGGGAGAACUGCUUAACAUCCUGCCUGGCAUCAUAGUCCUCGAGUUGUGGCCCCUCAACACUAAUACGGAUUAGGUCCUCAACAGUUUCAGUAUGCAGGCUUGAUCUAACAUCUGACUUGAUUCUGUUUACUGACGAGAAGCCUCUUUCACAGACUGCUGAAGAGAUUGGGAGCACCAGCAUGAUUUUGACCAGGUGUAGGAUAUUCUGCAAAAGACGAAGUGUGGUGAUCAAACCAACUUUCCAAAUCACCAAGUCAACAGUGACAAUGAUCAUGUAAUUUUUGAUACUACAGAUAACAGAGCCUACCGCAAAGUCUGAGCAGUAGGGCUCUUUUGUCGUCAUGACUUGCCACAGUCCAAGAUAGCUUUUGUCCUUGAAUGUCCUUGUUUAUCGUCAUUUUCAUCAGUUGGAACUCCUCUUUGGCCUUUUCUUUGCUGCAGCCAUUCCUGGCAUGAGAUGGAAGAAUGGCAGGAACAAGGAGGUCUGUAUCAACAUGAUUUAAUUUAUUAUGUCAACAUAAAUAUGAUAGCACACGAAAAACUCACCUGUCCAGGACAGUGGAGAAGUGUCGUAGGAGAAAGUUCACCUCUUCCACACCAUGGUUCAGGAGCUCCAGCCUAUGAUCUGCCCAAGAGUCAUGGCUGAAGACAUUGAAACACUUCACUGCCUUGGCUGUUGGUGCAUCCUUUGUGUUCUCUUCUAUCAGAAAAAAACAGACAGAAAAAGGUUAGGCCUCUCAACAGUGCUCUAAACAUGUCAUUGUGCCAAUGAUAUAAUGCUAAAAUACAACAACUCACCAAGUAGGCUGCUAAAUCUAUUCUUCAGGUGUUUCACCGUGGACUCACAGGUCAGCACAAUGGCUCUUUGCAGUCUGGGAGCACACUGGCUGAUUGGUUGACCUUCUGCCAGCUCUGCAGCUUCACCUUUAGAAAGCAUGACAUCCUGUGAAGCAUGCAAAAUUAAAAUGCUAUGUAUAUCUUAUUAACAUGAAAUAUACAUUCGAUUUUAUAUAAAGUAUAUUGUGUACCUGAUACUUGGAACGUCCCAGCCCCAGGUUCUCCUCCUCUCUGUUGGCGCUGCUUCUUCAUGGCUGCAAGGAACUCAGACAGCUUACCAUCAGGUUUGGGGCUAGCUGCCAUAGCUUCUAUGGUAGCCAAGAGAGAUUCGAUGCCACUAACAGCCUGGGAAGACAGUUUUGUUCUUAAUAUAAGCAACAUGUUAAGGGGAAUAUAAAAGUAAUCCCCUGGCCUCCUUUUUCUCUCUUCUUUACCUGAGGUAGGAUUACAUUGUUUUUCUGAAGCUGCAGGCUGAAGUUGCUGAUGGAAGAGAAAAGGUCUGACAGGAAGUGGCAAAAUGCCACAUGUCCCAUCCUCCAUGCUGACUUUGACCUGCAAAUAUGUAGUUCUGAUUCUCAACUCAUAAAACACCAAAGUUAAAAUGUUUUAAAUAAUUGAUUUAUACUGUCAACACAAAACACUGAGAUAAGAUAAUACUUACCUUCUUUGCUCUGCCAGCUAUCUGCACUGGCCGAGGCACCUGCCAGAUGCUCCAUGUGCACAUACACGGCUGUAAACUGGCCAGAGGAAUUACCAUCCUUCCCUGGUUUUAGGAAGGUCCUCAAACUCCGGGACACAUGGGGCAGCCACCUGGUCCCUUUCACUCCACUCGGUGCAUUCACUGUGACUGUUCAGCUCCAAGUGCUUUGAGUUCCCUCAUUGAUUUAGGGGUUAGGUGGUAUGUUUUCCAGAUGAGGUGCAACAGGUCAUACACCUGCCCAAUCAUGGAGACCUCUCUUUGCACCCUCAACAUCCCUAGCUCCAAUCUUUACAGAAAAUAGAUAUAUAUUUUUUACAUUUUAAUUACACUUUGGAGAAUGAAUAUGUAUGGCAGAUAUGGUAAAAGGGAACCUACCUGUGUGGCAUGCAGUGGAAUGGGACAAUGAAGGACCCAAUCUCUGCUUGAAGGAGGGCUAUCACUCCACCUCUGUGUCCCAGAUUGACAGCUGCACUGUCUGCACCCAUGGCUACAAUUUUUUCCGCCCAGUUCUUACAAGGCUUUCUUGGCUGCAGCAUAAACGCCUUAAAUUAAGCACAUAACAUGGAAUAUUUAUAUUCUCUCUCUCUCUCUCCCUCUACACACACACGCACGUUAUUGUGUGUGUUUUUUAAGAUACCUGGGCAUGAUGGCAUCAAAUAAUUUUAUUCUAAAGGAAUUUAUAAUUAACCUGUAGAGCAUUUUUCCAUAUAGUUAUUAUCAUUUAGCUAUAUGAAACAGAAAUGAGACACACUCCUUAACUUCUGCAUGGGCGUGUUCAACCUCAAUAUGGCCAAUAAGAAUAUUGCACGGUUUUCCAUCUUCAACGAUACGGGCAUAUAUAAUCUCGCACUCCUUGGUGGAUUUGUCAGUGGAACCGUCAAGUAUGAAUGAGAGGUAGGGGGCGUGUGCGACUUUGUCGGCGGUCUUUCCCUUGAGUGUGUCUGCUAUAACAGUGGUUCCCAACCUUUUUUGACCAGUGUACCCCUUGAGCUGGUUUCCAUGUUAAAAGUACCCCCUCUCUCAUGUGGAUUAUUCGCCUUAAUGUGUACUUAUUUUUAACCCUUUGUCUUUAUAUCUAAUCCACCUGCUCAUUUAAAUAAUACCAUAUACAAUCAUUGUGAGUGGAAAAAAAUACCUUUUAUUCAGUUUAAUGAGACACUUGCGCUUGCCUGUCUUUCAAAAGCUUUGACAUUUCUGGGGGCAGUGUGGCAACAGCCGCCAACAAGCUGCUCUCCACAUUCAGUCUGUUUCUCUGCUUGGUUUUGAUGUGAGUCAGGGCUGAGAAGGUCACUUCACACAUGUAAGUUGAUCCAAAAGGUAAUAGUUAAUUUAAUGCACAUUUCCCCAGCUCAGGAUUUUCCUUUUCAACUUCACACCAAAACUCAGUCAGUGACUUUUCAGCAUGUGCCAUCUUUUGCAUACGAUCAAAGGACAAAUCCACCAGGUUUUCCUGCAGUCUGGCAGGAAGGCUGCUGCUGCUCUCAGUCCCUCUGAAGGGGUUCCUCACCCAGUCCAGUUGCUCUGACUUUUCUUCGAUGUCAUGGAAGUACUGGUUGAAGUCAGUUUGGAGUUUGGAGAGAUGUGUUCUGAUGAUUUUGACUAAAGGAUUUUUUUCAGCAUCAGUGGUGACAAGAUGGGUAACAACGAGUGGAAAACAGCUCACAUCUCCAUUGUUGCAUUUCUUCUCCCACAAGGUGACUUUAUGUAUGAAUCCAUUCACUUUGUCAUACAUGUUAAGUAUGUGUGCGUCCUUGUCUUGAA
This is a long non-coding RNA of Gadus chalcogrammus (walleye pollock), 4113 nucleotides long. RefSeq lists it as uncharacterized. The record is from RefSeq and is a predicted model, not a curated record. Lineage: Eukaryota; Metazoa; Chordata; Actinopteri; Gadiformes; Gadidae. The transcript has 3 exons.